UGAGGCAUUUGACUUUAAAAAAUGGAAACGGUGAUUCUGCCGCAGGCCUGGCACGGAUGGUCACCCUUCUCUGCCCAUCAUCACUCAAGCCCCUCAGUCCCCCUCACCCAAGGGCCUGCCUCCACCUUGGCUGGGGGAGGGCAGGGAGGCCGCAACCUGCAAGAACAAUGGAAAGGCCGGAGGGAAGCUGAGGGGCCAGAGAGGGACAGGAGCAUGGAGGGCAGCCAGGAGCCUCUGCAACUAUCUCCAUCUCAUGACAUUGGACCGCAGGUGUCACAGAAGUGUAAUCUCUGACAGAGGAGAAGCAAAUGAGGUGAGACCCACAAGUGCCCCAGCUGACAACCUGGAGAGAGUUUCCACGCCACCAUACAGACCCUGUAGGGGACCCACUGUCUCCAGGCCUCCGUUUGCUCAUCUGUAAAGCGAGGGGUGGGCCAGUCACCCCGGCAUGAGCUUUGACAUUUUAGGAUCCCAGCCUUCCCGCUGUGGUUGCAGAAGUGGCUCUUAGGAUCCCAGCCUUCCCGCUGUGGCUGCAGAAGUGGCUCCUCUCCAGAACAGCAUUUAUGGCGUCUGGACUCCCGCCCCAGCUCCCUAACGGGGCAGGGAGCUCGCCUGCUCCUGAAGCAUCCGCCUCCCAGCCUCGCGCAGGUGAGGCUCAUCAAUAACGAUGGGCGAGGAUGUCAGGCUGCGUCUGAAGCCACCAGGGGCCCAGCAGGCUGCCGCGUGCUUUGUCAUAAACUAUGUUGUCACCUGGGGAAGAAUCAUCACCGAUAACAUAUUUCAGGAGACAAAAACAAGAGGUGCAUUGAUUUUUUCCACGAGGUCAGACAACUUCUGGGAAGGCUCCUGGAACUCAAGUUGUCACGGCAUCUCUCCCUGAAUAUCCGUUUGACCCGGGGUGUUAGUGGCCUCUGACCCAGGUGGGCUCUUUUUCCUGAUCACGGGCUGUUCUUUUCAGAGGCCAGCACCAUCACUGGCCUUUCUCAGACCCUGAGGAUCGAGGCUGACUUGGAUCCAGGGAAGAUUUGCUCUCUGGCUUCCCCUGAUCUGGCUCCGAGAAAGGUCUGCACAGGUGGCUCCGGGAGGGGCUCUGCUGACAGCCAAAUCUGCCAUUUGUUAAGCUUAUGACACACACCAGAGUGACCUGUCUAUUUCCCUGGCCACCACCCAGCCCAAAACUGAAGACAGAAUGUUCAAAAAUACAGUAUAUUAAUAGAAAAUCUGAGGCAUAGUGAGGCCAACAGAUCAGGAGACAACUGCCAUUAAAAAGGUAGUUUGCGGCCGUGAGCGGUGGCUCACGCCUGUAAUCCCAGCACUUUGGGAGGCCGAGGUGGGCAGAUCACAUGAGGUCAGGAGUUUUAGACUCGCCUGGCCAGCAUGGUGGAACCACCCUAUCUCUACUAAAAAUAUAAAAAUUAGCUGGGUGUGGUGGCGGGAGCCUGUAAUCCAAGCUACUCAGGAGGCUGAGGCAGGAGAAUCACUGGAACCUGGAAGGUGGAGGCUGCAGUGAGCUGAGAUCGCACCACUGCACUCCAGCCUGGGCAACAGAGUGAGACCCCAUCUCAAAAAAAAAAAAAAAAAAGGUAGUUUGUUACUCACAGUUCCCAAGAGGAGGGGAGCACCACGCCAUGCCGCGCCACGCCAUGCCACGCCAUGCCACGCCAUGCCAUGCCAUGCCACGCCAUGUGGGGGCCACACCCGGAGAGCCCCAGAGGGAGCAAGGGGCAGAACGCAGGCAAGCAGUUCCCAUGGGAAGGAACAGGCGAGGCAGGGUACACAGGUUUAGGACUAGCUAGUUUGAAUAAUUUCAGCAGGCUCUGGGACAUAGGAGCUGUCUGUAGUUGUCUGGUACCUGGCCCUGGGGGAUACAGGCAGGUGGAUAGGGGCCCAGAGUGUGGUUGGGAGGUGUGGGCUCUAGAGUGGGUGAUUUGUAUUUGAAAAGCACACUCCCAGGCCAUUGUCUGCUGUCUCUAGGAACUAUCUAAUCCUGGGAGGGACUCUCUCCAGUGUCAGCAAAGCCCCUGAUGUCAAAGUAUCACAAUACAGAGAAUAAAAGACGCGGCCCGUACGCAGAGCUGAAGUGGCUCUCUGUUAUUUGCAGAUGGAAAUUGGAAUCUCUACAGCAUGACAGACACUUGAGCAGAAAUUCUAAGCUUUUAUGGGUUGCCACAGGUCCCUUUCAGGAGGAUGGCGAAGGCUAUAGUCAUGAGCCGUCUAAGGUGGAGGUCACGAGCGGCAGGUGGCUCUUAAUAAGCACUUGACAUACCACUUCUCCCAACUGAGAUGUGCUGUACGCGUCAAAUCCGAACUGGAUUUUGAGGAUUCAGAAUGAAUAAAAGAUUGAAAAAAUCUCAUUCAUGAUUUGUAUAUUAAUUACAUGUUGAAAUGAUAAUAUGUUGGAUAUAUUGGGCUAAAUAAAAUAUAUUAUCAAAUUUAAGUUUGCUUGUUUCUUUUUAUUGUGUCUGCUAGAAAAAUGUCCUCAGUUAAAAUCACCUCAGUGGCUCACAUUCUCUCUCUAUUGGACAACAGGGCUCUUGACCUCCCUAGGGGAAUGGACCCAGGCACACAUGAUGCAGGUAAAAUAUGGUAUUGAGGGGUGUGAUUCCAGGAUCUGAGGGUACACCGACCCCAAGUUGAUUUCACUCUCUCUUUCCAGAAUUAUAGGGUGAAAAGAACCCUAGAGAAGGAUCCCUGGCCCCAGACACAUAACUAUCAGUGAGAACCCACAGCAUUGAAAAGCAAAUCUUUCCCAAAGCUUCAUGUUUUGAGCCAGCCUGCUGUAAAACUUUGUUAAAAAAAAUCAGUAGACAAUAAAGAAGAAAAUCAAACUUUUUAGCCUUGAUUAAGUGGUU
Molecule: long non-coding RNA, 2852 nt
Filed under: Homo sapiens (human)
Lineage: Eukaryota; Metazoa; Chordata; Mammalia; Primates; Hominidae
Description: HSALNT0245686
Source: RNAcentral